Molecule: ribosomal RNA, 839 nt
Filed under: uncultured bacterium
Lineage: Bacteria
Description: bacterial SSU rRNA
Rfam family: Bacterial small subunit ribosomal RNA
Source: RNAcentral
GAUAGCUUGCUAGUUGCUGACGAGUGGCGGACGGGUGAGUAAUGCUUAGGGAUCUGCCUUUAGGAGGGGGAUAACCAUUGGAAACGAUGGCUAAUACCGCAUAAUGUCUACGGACCAAAGGGGGCUUCGGCUCUCACCUAGAGAGGAACCUAAGUGAGAUUAGCUAGUUGGUGAGGUAAAGGCUCACCAAGGCGACGAUCUCUAGCUGUUCUGAGAGGAAGAUCAGCCACACUGGAACUGAGACACGGUCCAGACUCCUACGGGAGGCAGCAGUGGGGAAUAUUGCACAAUGGGGGAAACCCUGAUGCAGCCAUGCCGCGUGUGUGAAGAAGGCCUUCGGGUUGUAAAGCACUUUCAGUUGUGAGGAAAGGUUAGUAGUUAAUACCUGCUAGCUGUGACGUUAACAACAGAAGAAGCACCGGCUAACUCCGUGCCAGCAGCCGCGGUAAUACGGAGGGUGCGAGCGUUAAUCGGAAUUACUGGGCGUAAAGCGCACGCAGGCGGUUUGUUAAGCUAGAUGUGAAAGCCCCGGGCUCAACCUGGGAUGGUCAUUUAGAACUGGCAGACUAGAGUUUUGGAGAGGGGAGUGGAAUUCCAGGUGUAGCGGUGAAAUGCGUAGAUAUCUGGAGGAACAUCAGUGGCGAAGGCGACUCUCUGGCCAAAGACUGACGCUCAUGUGCGAAAGUGUGGGUAGCGAACAGGAUUAGAUACCCUGGUAGUCCACACUGUAAACGCUGUCUACUAGCUGUUUGUGUAUUUAAUACGUGAGUAGCGAAGCUAACGCGCUAAGUAGACCGCCUGGGGAGUACGGCCGCAAGGUUAAAACUCAAAUGAAUUGA